GACGAACGCUGGCGGCGUGCCUAAUACAUGCAAGUCGAACGCACUCUCGUUUAGAUUGAAGGAGCUUGCUCCUGAUUGAUAAGCAUUUGAGUGAGUGGCGGACGGGUGAGUAACACGUGGGUAACCUGCCCUAAAGUGGGGGAUAACAUUUGGAAACAGAUGCUAAUACCGCAUAAAACCUAGCACCGCAUGGUGCAGGGUUGAAAGAUGGUUUCGGCUAUCACUUUAGGAUGGACCCGCGGUGCAUUAGUUAGUUGGUGAGGUAAAGGCUCACCAAGACCGUGAUGCAUAGCCGACCUGAGAGGGUAAUCGGCCACACUGGGACUGAGACACGGCCCAGACUCCUACGGGAGGCAGCAGUAGGGAAUCUUCCACAAUGGACGAAAGUCUGAUGGAGCAACGCCGCGUGAGUGAAGAAGGUUUUCGGAUCGUAAAACUCUAGUUGUUGGAGAAGAAUGUAUCUGAUAGUAACUGAUCAGGUAGUGACGGUAUCCAACCAGAAACG
RNAcentral lists this ribosomal RNA (505 nucleotides) under uncultured bacterium. RNAcentral describes it as "bacterial SSU rRNA". It matches the Rfam family "Bacterial small subunit ribosomal RNA", at positions 28 to 491 of the family's 1533-position model. The record is from RNAcentral.